Long non-coding RNA from Aethalodelphis obliquidens (Pacific white-sided dolphin), 2911 nucleotides. RefSeq lists it as uncharacterized. The transcript has 3 exons. Lineage: Eukaryota; Metazoa; Chordata; Mammalia; Artiodactyla; Delphinidae. The record is from RefSeq and is a predicted model, not a curated record.
CAGUCAAUAUAAUAGCUUUGUAUGGAGAGUAAUCUAUAGAAACAUCGAAUUAUUAUGUUGUACACCUGAAACUAACAUAAUAUUGUGUCAACUACACAUCAAUUAAAAUAAAUGUGUGUGUGUAUAUAUAUAUAUAUAUAUAUAUAUACACACACACACGUAUGCACAGUUGAUACUCAUUAUUCCUUAUAGCUAUGUUCUAUAAAUUUGCCACAAACCCGGAAUUAGUGAAUACUGACCCAUUGUUCCUAGGAGAAAAAUAGGGUCAGUUUCCUGUGAGCCUCUGCUCACAUUUUUGUCAACUGAGCAAUACAUAACCUUGUGUUAUGUGUGUUUCUGUUUAAAGAAGCCUCAUGUGAUAUAUAUUGUUGAUGCAUUAACACGGGACUCACAGCCAAUGGCACCGUAAGUCAUGCCCAAACGAGGCUUAUCUAGCACACCUAUUUUCUCCCUAAGACACGUCGCCGCCCCGUGGUGUGUCUUAUGGAGACACUUAGCCAGCACCUCAGCACUAUGCUUCGGAACCACUUUAAACACCGAAAUCGCCAACCAGUAAGCACACAAAUGGAAACGAAUGUGCACUGAGCAGACCACAAACAGGACGCUUGUUUACAAUAUGAAAGCUGAGCUAGGAGGACAGAGGAUCACCUUGUUUGACUUCAGCUGGGAACAUCAAGCAACUCGAACUUUUCACUGUCGUGGGCAUGUCCACGAAUGACCGCACAAGUGCCACACGUAUGGAUUUGGGGGUUACAAAUAAACUUUAGUGAGUGGGUGAAUCCACAGGCACGAAGCCCACAAAUAAUAAAGAUCAACAGUGUCCGUACUCACCUAAGACACUGCUCAGUUUGCAGAAGAUUUUUCACUUCAAAUCAGUGGUCAGUUGUUAGGACACCGUGAGGAAAGCCCACCCAGUUUGUGUGAGACCCAUGACAAAGGCAGUCUCCAUUCUGUUUCCAGAGUCUCCAGAGAGGCUGGCAAUGGAAGUUAUCUUACUCAUCGCCCUUUGUUCUGUAGGUUCCCCAGGAGUGAACUUGGUGCUAUGGCAAGACCGGAAGCUCUGUGACUUUGUGGGGCGAGCAGAGCCUGUCUGGACUGCCUGCAACUCGUGGUGGGGGCCACUGCUGGGAUCAAAGUGUUCAGCCAUGUGCGAAGGCAGGCUGACACAGAGCCCGUGCUAGAAGAAGUAUGUCUUGGUGCAGUGGGGUCCAGGGAAUCACGCAGAUAACCGCGCAGAGGGUCAAGUGGGGAGAGUAAGGAGAAGGCGAAAUAUAAGAGAAUGAAGCAGGAGCUGAGAGGAUUUACAGCAGAAAGGCAAGGCUUCAAGGAGCUUCCAGGGUAAGUGUCAGCAUUUAGACCACAAACAGAGAGCUCUGGAAUUUCCACUCUCUGAGGUAUUUGGUAUAUGAGUCCCAGACUAGGGAAAGUGACUCAGAGAGAAUCAUGAAACACUGGAGAGAAAUUUUAUUUAAUAAGUAUUAAGGUUUGCUUAUGCUUAAUAGACCCUCAACUGUAUGACUUCAAGAAAUACAAUCUGUAUUUUGUCUCCGAUGUAACAGUUUACCACAGAUAAUGAUAAAAAUCAUAAACAUCUCAAACUCAUCUGUCCAACCCGCAGCUUCCCAACCGCUCUGCAGAGAUAUACAUCUAUUUUGUUCCUAAAUAUUACCCAAAGUGGAAACUUUUAACUAUCCGUUGGUAGCUCACUUCUGUGGUUUUACCACAGUAAGCCCCUAUUCCAUGAAUCUGAUUUCACUAAUGAUAGAACACUAUUUUUAUGACAUACAGAUGGCUAUCCAAAGAACUCCCAGCAAUUAAUCAACUCUUAGUAAGUCACUUGAGAAAGGCCAAUAAAGUAAUUUUCUAUCAAAUGAGUACUUUCUCCACCAGAAAUAGGGCUGCAAGAUUCUCCUUCUCAACAAAGACAGUACAGAAUGGGGGCAAAUUUUUUUUUGUUAUUCUUCUAAAGGGUUCUCUAGACACUUCUUCCAAGACAGCUUUAUUGUGUGAUAAUUAUGUGUUUAUAUGUUUGGUUUUCCUCUAGAUCCCAACCUCACUGAAUGGAGGGACUAUGCCUUGUUUAUCUCAAGCACACAUCACAGUGUUUGACACAAACAGGUGAGGAAGGGGUGUAAAUCCAAUGAUUUCAUCCUGCUCUAAAGUUCUCUGGGGAUCACGUGAGCAUCAGAGUCUGUCUGAACCCUGAUCAAGAUGUCUGCUGAGCUUCCUUUCCAGGCCAGAUGUACACAAAGUACCAACCUGGAUGCCAAUGCCCAAGGCUUCCUGAAGCCAGGCUGAAGAUAUAUAUGAGAGCCUCCAUCAGCUUGAGUCCCCAGAUGGCUCUUUGAAACAGAGUCCCCACCCCCGACUACCUUUCCUACGACCACCACCUCCAUUAGACUAACACAUAAUCAAAAAAUAAAUUUAUUGUGUUAAGCCACUGAGAUUUAUCACAAAACUUAGCCUAGCAUGAUGACUUCAAAAAAUUUUUUCAAGUUACAAUAUAAUACUAACAAGCAGGGAUUUACACAACCACUUAAAGAGCUAGGGUACCAAGGUGAAAGAAAAACCACAGCUGGACUUCAGGAAGUUUGGGUAGAUGGGAAAUACAGGGAAGUUCCUGCUGAUCAUCUCCCCUGACGGCAGUACCAAAGCAGGUGAUUUGCAGGAGCUCCCCUGGAAGCUGCUGUAAAUCUCAUGUCUGCUUACUGCUGAAAGGUAUGCCUGCAGCUGCCACCAGAGAUAAAUGGCUUUUCCCUUCUCCUAUCUUCCAAAUCUCGUGCAGUGCUUCUUCUUGGCAGAAUCUAACCCAGAACCCUGCUGGAAGCAGAAUUCUAAAAGGUCUAAUUUAGCUGCUUCUACCCUGAGAUGCAGAAGAGAGUUUGGAAGAGGAAAGAAGGAAGGAAGGAAG